RNAcentral lists this ribosomal RNA (476 nucleotides) under uncultured bacterium. Its description in RNAcentral is "bacterial SSU rRNA". It matches the Rfam family "Bacterial small subunit ribosomal RNA", at positions 27 to 518 of the family's 1533-position model. The record is from RNAcentral.
GGACGAACGCUGGCGGCGUGCCUAACACAUGCAAGUCGAGCGAGGAGAUCCCUUCGGGGAUGAACCUAGCGGCGGACGGGUGAGUAACACGUGGGCAACCUGCCUUAUAGAGGGGAAUAGCCUUCCGAAAGGAAGAUUAAUACCGCAUAACAUUACAUUUUCGCAUGAAGAAGUAAUUAAAGGAGUAAUCCGCUAUAAGAUGGGCCCGCGGCGCAUUAGCUAGUUGGUGAGGUAACGGCUCACCAAGGCGACGAUGCGUAGCCGACCUGAGAGGGUGAUCGGCCACAUUGGGACUGAGACACGGCCCAGACUCCUACGGGAGGCAGCAGUGGGGAAUAUUGCACAAUGGGGGAAACCCUGAUGCAAGCAACGCCGCGUGAGUGAUGAAGGUCUUCGGAUCGUAAAGCUCUGUCUUCAGGGACGAUAAUGACGGUACCUGAGGAGGAAGCCACGGCUAACUACGUGCCAGCCGCUGC